GCUUGUCUCAAAGAUUAAGCCAUGCAUGUCUAAGUAUAAACUAUUUUAUACUGUGAAACUGCGAAUGGCUCAUUAAAUCAGUUAUAGUUUAUUUGAUGGUACCUUACUACUCGGAUAACCGUAGUAAUUCUAGAGCUAAUACAUGCACAAAAUCCCGACUUACGAAGGGAUGUAUUUAUUAGAUACAAACCAACAUCGUGGUGAUUCAUAAUAACUUUCGGAUCGAUUUAUCGAUGCAUCAUUCAAGUUUCUGCCCUAUCAGCUUUGGAUGGUAGGGUAUUGGCCUACCAUGGCUUUAACGGGUAACGGAGAAUUAGGGUUCGAUUCCGGAGAGGGAGCCUGAGAAAUGGCUACCACAUCCAAGGAAGGCAGCAGG
RNAcentral lists this ribosomal RNA (376 nucleotides) under Chrysocapsa paludosa. RNAcentral's name for it is "partial small subunit ribosomal RNA". It matches the Rfam family "Eukaryotic small subunit ribosomal RNA", at positions 30 to 432 of the family's 1831-position model. The record is from RNAcentral. Lineage: Eukaryota; Chrysophyceae; Chromulinales; Chrysocapsaceae.